GGGCGGAGAGGGCUACCAUGGGGGUGAGGGGAGGCCGCCCGCCGCGGGGACACGGAGGGGAGGUGGCGAGGGUCUGGGAGGCAACAGCUCGCGCCAGGAGGAGAUGAAGCGAGUGGGUGCGCGCUGAAGGAGCAGGAGGCAGAAGGAGUGUCUCCCUGUGGCACCCACGGCUGGGAAUGCGGGAGGGUCGGGCAGGCGUGGGGCUGCGCAGGCACAGCUGACGCAGUCGCUCUGGCCCUCCCCCUCAGAAAAUCGCGCUGCAACUCAAAGCCACGCUGGAGAACAUCACCAACCUCCGGCCCGUGGGCGAGGACUUCCGGUGGUACCUGAAGAUGAAAUGUGGCAACUGUGGUGAGAUUUCGGACAAGUGGCAGUACAUCCGGCUGAUGGACAGUGUGGCACUGAAGGGGGGCCGUGGCAGUGCUUCCAUGGUCCAGAAGUGCAAGCUGUGUGCAAGAGAAAAUUCCAUCGAGAUUUUAAGCAGCACCAUCAAGCCUUACAAUGCUGAAGACAAUGAGAACUUCAAGACAAUAGUGGAGUUUGAGUGCCGGGGCCUUGAACCAGUUGAUUUCCAGCCGCAGGCUGGGUUUGCUGCUGAAGGUGUGGAGUCAGGGACAGCCUUCAGUGACAUUAAUCUGCAGGAGAAGGACUGGACUGACUAUGAUGAAAAGGCCCAGGAGUCUGUGGGAAUCUAUGAGGUCACCCACCAGUUUGUGAAGUGCUGAUCCCUCUUCCUUCCCAGUUGCCCUUAAGAACUGAGAAAGGACAAAGUACUCUAAGCAGCAAACCCCACAGAGGCUCGUUCCUUUGACCCUUGUCUCCUGGUGGCUAUACAAAACCUUCACAAUCUGCAUGCUGGACUUUAUUACAGCUUCCCAAGCCCCAUCAAUAAAGCCCCUGUUCAUGCUGCACUGGUGCAUGAAGGUGAAGUAAGGAGGCAGCUACUCCCUCCACAAAUAAGAAUUCGUGCAGCAGCAGUUCACUCCUUAGGAAAAUGAAGAGUAUUUUU
RNAcentral lists this small RNA (1009 nucleotides) under Pan troglodytes (chimpanzee). Its description in RNAcentral is "processed transcript". Lineage: Eukaryota; Metazoa; Chordata; Mammalia; Primates; Hominidae. The record is from RNAcentral.